RNAcentral lists this unclassified non-coding RNA (413 nucleotides) under Hevea brasiliensis (rubber tree). The record is from RNAcentral. Lineage: Eukaryota; Viridiplantae; Streptophyta; Magnoliopsida; Malpighiales; Euphorbiaceae.
GGAAGAAGCAGAAGAUAGAUUCUAAUGCUAUGUUUGCUAGGAUGUAAUUUAAUUGUAUUACAGUCUACCAAACAGAGCCUAAGUUCAGUGAGUAUUUAAUUGGCUUGUUAAGCUUCAAGGGAAAUAAGCUGUUGGAUAUUUCUUGUGGUGUUGGUCUAGCAUAUUCACUUUGAAAUGUCUGAAAAGGGAUUUGGGAUUGGAUUACAUUUAUACCUUUAAAGGGUGGAAGGGUUACUGUCGAUUGUGUAACCUUGCCAAUAGACCCUGAGAAAGGAAAACAAAACAUGGAGGCAGUAUACUAAAAGGAUUUCAUCUUUUCUUUUGUGGAGUUAUAUGAUGCCAUGUGUUUACAAUAGAAAAACAAGUUUAUUCAUGUGUUAUUCUUUAGAGCUGGGCUAGCUGGCUAGGAAAGG